GAUGAACGCUAGCGGCAGGCUUAACACAUGCAAGUCGAGGGGUAUAGGUAGCUUGCUAUCUAGAGACCGGCGCACGGGUGCGUAACGCGUAUGCAAUCUACCUUUUACAGGGGAAUAGCCCAGAGAAAUUUGGAUUAAUGCCCCAUAGUAUAUUUGAAUGGCAUCAUUUGAUUAUUAAAGAUUUAUCGGUAAAAAGAUGA
This 200-nucleotide ribosomal RNA is filed under the name uncultured bacterium. RNAcentral's name for it is "partial 16S ribosomal RNA". It matches the Rfam family "Bacterial small subunit ribosomal RNA", at positions 28 to 228 of the family's 1533-position model. The record is from RNAcentral.